This 459-nucleotide ribosomal RNA is filed under the name uncultured bacterium. RNAcentral's name for it is "partial 16S ribosomal RNA". It matches the Rfam family "Bacterial small subunit ribosomal RNA", at positions 338 to 795 of the family's 1533-position model. The record is from RNAcentral.
CCUACGGGUGACAGCAGUGAGGAAUAUUGGUCAAUGGGCGGAAGCCUGAACCAGCCAAGUAGCGUGCGGGAUGAAGGCCCUACGGGUCGUAAACCGCUUUUGCACGGGGAUAACACCCUCCACUUGUUGAGGUCUGCAGGUACCGUGCGAAUAAGGGCCGGCUAAUUCCGUGCCAGCAGCCGCGGUAAUACGGAAGGCCCGAGCGUUAUCCGGAUUCCUUGGGCUAAAAGGGAGCGUAGGCGGGCGUUAAAGUCAGCUGUAAAAUCGCGCGGCUCAACCGCGCCCCGCAGUUGAAACUGGACGCCUUGAGUUCACAACAGGCAGGCGGAAUUCGUGGUGUAGCGGUGAAAUGCAUAGAUAUCACGAGGAACCCCGGUUGCGAAGGCAGCCUGCCGGGGUGCGACUGACGCUGAGGCUCGAAGGUGCGGGUAGCAAACAGGAUUAGAUACCCUAGUAGUC